This 484-nucleotide ribosomal RNA is filed under the name uncultured bacterium. RNAcentral's name for it is "partial 16S ribosomal RNA". It matches the Rfam family "Bacterial small subunit ribosomal RNA", at positions 30 to 507 of the family's 1533-position model. The record is from RNAcentral.
AUUGAACGCUGGCGGCAGGCCUAACACAUGCAAGUCGAGCGGAUGAAGGGAGCUUGCUCCUGGAUUCAGCGGCGGACGGGUGAGUAAUGCCUAGGAAUCUGCCUGGUAGUGGGGGAUAACGUCCGGAAACGGGCGCUAAUACCGCAUACGUCCUGAGGGAGAAAGUGGGGGAUCUUCGGACCUCACGCUAUCAGAUGAGCCUAGGUCGGAUUAGCUAGUUGGUGGGGUAAGGGCCUACCAAGGCGACGAUCCGUAACUGGUCUGAGAGGAUGAUCAGUCACACUGGAACUGAGACACGGUCCAGACUCCUACGGGAGGCAGCAGUGGGGAAUAUUGGACAAUGGGCGAAAGCCUGAUCCAGCCAGGCCGCGUGUGUGAAGAAGGUCUUCGGAUUGUAAAGCACUUUAAGUUGGGAGGAAGGGCAGUAAGUUAAUACCUUGCUGUUUUGACGUUACCAACAGAAUAAGCACCGGCUAACUUCGUG